AUGGGUGGCCAGGCUGCAAGGCCAACUUGCAUCCACACCCAGUUUCCAGCUCAGUGCCUGGCCCAGAUAAAGCCUUCCUGCCUCCUUCCUCCCUCCUUCCAUCCCUCUCUCCCUCCCUCGGCCACUCAUUCAUUCCUUCAUCACUCCAUCACUCAUCCAUUCUCUCACUCACUCAUUUCCUCGUUUAUUCAUCCCCCUCACUCAUGGACUCAUCCAUUCUCUCAUUCAUUCAACCCCUCACUCAUUCCAUCAUUCAUUCUCUCUCACUCAUUCUUUAUCAUUCUCUUACUCACUUCCUGUCAUUCAUUCCCUCAUUACACAUUCCCACGCUCACUCAUUCCCUCAUUCAUUCAUCCCCUCAUUCCCUCAUUCAUUCAUCUCCUCAUUCCCUCAUUCAUCUCACUCAUUCUUUCAUUUAUUCACCCCCUCACUCAUUCACUCAUUCAUUAUUCACUCACUCAUUCAUUCCCUCAUUUAUUCAUCCCCUCACUCACUCACUCAUUCUCUCAUUUCCUCACUCAUCCAUUCUCUCACUCAUUCACCCAUUCAUUCACUAACUCAUUUCCUCACCCAUCCAUUCCCUCAUCACACAUUCCCUCACUCACUCAUUCCCUCAUUUAUUCAUCCCUCACUCAUUCACCCAUUUAUUCUCUCAUUUCUUCACUUGCUUAUUCAUUCCCUCACUCAUCCAUUCUCUCAUUCAUCACUCAUUUCCUCACUCAUUCAUUCCUCAAUUCAUCCCCCUCAUUCACUUUCAUUCACUCAUUUCCUCACUCACUCAUCACUCAUUCAAUUUCUCACUCACUCAUUCCCUCACUCUUGUUCCUUCAUUCAUUCAUCCUGUUCACUCAUGCUCUCACUCACUCAUUCAUUCCCUCACUCAUCCGUUCGCAUUCCCUCACCACUCAUUCCUUCAUUCAUUCAUCCCCUCACUCAUUCACUUACUCAUUCUUCUCUCACUCGCUCAUUUCUUCAAUCACUCAUUCAAUCCCUCAUUCAUUCACUCACUUCCUCAUUCAUUCCCUUGCUAAUUCACUCCUUCACUCAUUCCCUCAUUCGUUCACUUAUCACUCACUCAUUCCCUCAUUCAUUCAUUCACUCAUUCUGUCAUUUCCUCAUCCCCUCACUCAUUCGCUCAUCCAUUCAUUCACUCACUCAUUCCUUUAUUCAUCCCCUCAUUCAUUCAUUCAUUAUCUCAUUUCCUCACUCAUCCAUUCUCACUCACUCAUUCACUCAUUCUUGCAUUCUCUCACUCAUUUCCUCACCCAUCCAUUUCCUCAUCACACAUUCCCUCGCUCACUCAUUCCUUCAUUUAUUCAUCCACUCACUCAUUCACUCAUUUAUUCUCUCAUUUCUUCACUUGGUCAUUCAUUCCCUCACUCAUUCAUUCUCUCACUCAGUCAUCACUCAUUUCCUCACCCACUCAUUCCCUCAAUUCAUCCCCUCAUUCGCUUUCAUUCAUUCACUCAUUUCCUCACUCACUCAUCCCUCAUUCAUUCACUCAUUACUCAUUCCCUUACUCAUCCAUUCUCAUUCCCUCACUCACUUAUUCAUUUUCUCACUCACUCAUUCCCUCACUCUUGUUCAUUCAUUCAUCCCCUCAUUCACUCAUGCCCUCACUCACUCAUUCAUGCCCUCACUCAUUCAUUCUCACUCACUCCGUCAUCACUCAUUCCUUCAUUCAUCCCCACCCAUUCACUCAUUCUCACUCAUUUUUUCAUUAAUUCCUUCCUUCAUUCAUUCAUUUUCUCACUCACUCCUUUCCUCAUUCAUUCAUUCCCUCAGUCAUCCAUUCUCUCAUCCCCUCACCACUCAUUCCUUCAUUCAUUCAUCCCCUCAUUCACUUACUCAUUCUUCUCUCACUCACUCAUUUCCUCAUUCAUUCCCUCAUUUCCUCAUUAA
Long non-coding RNA from Papio anubis (olive baboon), 1902 nucleotides. Lineage: Eukaryota; Metazoa; Chordata; Mammalia; Primates; Cercopithecidae. The record is from Ensembl.